This is a long non-coding RNA of Panicum virgatum (switchgrass), 2677 nucleotides long. RefSeq lists it as uncharacterized. The transcript is spliced from 2 exons. NCBI's taxonomy places the organism in Eukaryota, Viridiplantae, Streptophyta, Magnoliopsida, Poales, Poaceae. The record is from RefSeq and is a predicted model, not a curated record.
CGGCCUCCUCCACCACGCGCUCACCGGCACCUCCCUCCUAGGCGCUGGCGGCCUCCUCCAACAAGCCAGGGAGAUAGGUGAGGCCGGCCAGAUCCGGCGGCCUCGUGCUCGGGCCAUGGCGGCGGCAGCCGGAUCUGGCGGCCUCGAGCUCCAUGGUGCUGCAGUGAGCGGCGGGCGCGCGGUCGGAGCGUCGCCGACGGGCGUGUGCAGCAGCAGCUCCCCCCUCCCCCCAUGGCGGAGCAGGCCCCGCCCCCGAUGGCGGUUCUAUGUUGUUCUCCUUCCUCUGCGUGCGCGUGCUGUUUGUUCUCCACCAUUGAUGCAUCUGAAGGUCUUCCUCCCGAGGUCUAUGCCUUCUUUACAACUAAUGCCUCACAUUACUUAUCAUUCCUCUGUCCCGAUGCAUCAUUAUCCAGACCACGCACACAAUCUACUUCCUAGUAAGAGCAAGUAUUAUAAAGAACUGAGAGCUGGCUGGGAUCCUACAUGGAAAAGAGAGAGUACGAGAGAGAAGGGAGCAGCCGGCUGGUGUGACGCUCGCUUGAGCGGGCGGAGAGGUGCUACUGCACGUACUAUUGGCUAGUACUUUCUACUCUGCAUUAAUUAAAUGUAGGGUCUACCGCUGGGACGCCUUCUUGCAGCCCGCGGUCGCCGCAUGCCAUUAGCCAUGCUCAUGCCAAUAGCCAUGCUCUAAUGCAGUAUAUUCUGCUUUAAGUUGUAUUGUCCUACCUAUUGUGCUCCUCCUCAUCAUGCUGUGCUUUACUGUUGCAACCUAUGCUUAGGCCUAUCACACAAUCCUGCAAACUCAGAUCCUGCUGAAAAUUGGCAAAAACGUAUGAAAUACCUCCUACAAGAAAAAGGCUAACACAAUCAGGUAUCAAAUUCUAUUCUAACUGUAUUCGACCAUUAUAGACCCAUCUGUUGUUAACUAUAUUCUAAUGGUACGAAUCCUUUGGAAUCCAGUUAACCGUACCAUAAGUAAAUAUGGUUCCUUUGCAAAUCUAACUCUCCUUAAGGAAUUCCAUUUUCCCCUAAAUCUAAAUAGUGACCCCUUGCCAGGUCAAGAGCAAUGAUGACCUGUUUAUUGUAGCAGGAACAUCAACUGAAGCAGCUCAGUACAGGCAGCACCUUCCAGGUUGAUUGUGAUUAAACCUUUUGAUCUGUUCACGACCUGCAAUCCCCCCCUCCCCACCACCACCACCAAAUCUAAGUGAAACCGACUAAAACCAAUCACCUGAAAAAGAAUAUCUGUUAUAUUCACUAGCAUUUUAGUUCUGUUGUUCAGCUUUCCUAGCCUCAAUGUUAAGUUAAAAUGAUGGAGUUUUACUUUUACAUUAAUUUUUUUUCCAUAGCAUUAGGAGGCUGUCCUCAUUCUGAAACUUCAAAUACUAGCUCGCUUUUUCUUCCCUGCAGAAAGAAUGUGUCUUAAGUCACUUGAUUAUCUCACAAACAGUUCAUCAUGCACACAUAGCUUCGGUAUGCUAUCACUUUCUGUCGGAUGAUAAAUAAAAACCCUAUCCUAAUGCAUCGUCCCUGUUCUCUUAGCUACAUCUUCACAGCAUCUCAUUGACAGAACAGAAGGCCAGCAUCCACCAACCGGGCCAGCUGAAAUUUCAAUUAACAUAAGCACCGACACCAGUGUUCAGCUCCCUUCUGAAUCAAUCACAGAUGUCGAAAUAGUUGUUGACUUAACUGCGGAAUCCAGUUUCCAAUUAGCUUCUCUUAAGCUGAACAUUCCAGUAUUCGACGCUCUGUUUCCCUUGGCCAUCCAAAUCUCACUAGGCAAUAUACAUAUGGAACCAGUUCAUGUGUUCAGAUCCUUUGUCUCAGCCACAUUUGCAUUAGUUAUUUGGAGGAGAUUACUUCAUCUUAUCUUUGUGCACUGUGCUGCAAAGGUACCUUUGAUACCAGCAUGGUUGCAAGGCCCUGAUACCAGCAUGGUUGCAAGGUCCUUAUGCUUACUUAAACCGUAUACUGUUGUUCAGCUUCUACUCGCUUCAGUGGCUAUGCUUAACCCUUUCCAGGAAUAUAAGGCUCUGCAUCACAUCAGCCACACUAAUUUGGACGUUUACCUUUAUCAGUUGCUUACCCAACACAUACACGACAUCAAAGGUCAGAGCAGUCACUAACUUCCUUCUCCAGAUUAACUAUCUCAUCAUGCUCUCCUCACAGUGGCAAACAUAAUCGAGGUUGUAUUGUUGCUGAUAGAACACUAUCUCAUCGCUACUUAUCAGUAUAUUCGUAGAUCCUUCUUAGACCAUUAGAUCAAUAGGCCAUGUUCAGUUGAGGAGUUGCAGUUGCUUCUUCUUGCUGGAAUAACAUCAUCCCCACCUACCUAUGAAGCAAUUCAGCUGCUGACCAUGCCAACAACUAUCAGGGGUGACACCAAAGCAAGAAUGCUGCCAUUUUCCCAAAUCACUGAAUGCAUGUACUGGUCGUGCAUUUCUCCAUCAGCAUUCCAACUGUGUGAUCAUGAAGGGAUUUCACCCUCGGCUUAAUGUACCUAUGUAUUAUGGCAUUUCCGUUCCUAAAUAUAGUGGCUACUAAGUAAGUAUGCCCUCCAACUCUCGUAAAGCUCCUAAGCUUCCCCCAGUGACGAUUUGUACUGUAAUUUAAAUGCACCUUUCGCUGAUGUUUGUGUGCGCAUCUAUUCAGUAAUUUCAGAGUUCAUAACUAAUCA